UACGUAGGGGGCUAGCGUUGUCCGGAAUCAUUGGGCGUAAAGCGCGUGUAGGCGGUUUGGUAAGUCUGCUGUGAAAGCCGGGGGCUCAACCCUCGGAUGCCGGUGGAUACUGUCGGGCUUGAGUACGGAAGAGGCGAGUGGAAUUCCUGGUGUAGCGGUGAAAUGCGCAGAUAUCAGGAGGAACACCAAUUGCGAAGGCAGCUCGCUGGGACGUCACUGACGCUGAGACGCGAAAGCGUGGGGAGCAAACAGG
This 253-nucleotide ribosomal RNA is filed under the name uncultured bacterium. Its description in RNAcentral is "partial 16S ribosomal RNA". It matches the Rfam family "Bacterial small subunit ribosomal RNA", at positions 524 to 776 of the family's 1533-position model. The record is from RNAcentral.